UUUUCUUUCUUUUCCAGAAAUGAACAGCAGCCCUUCCCCCCCUCAUUUUCUUCAUUUUCAUCUAUGCUAGGGUUUCAAAGAAACCCAUUUCGUUGUCGUCGUCGCCACUGUAUAUGGUGACUGGCGUUCCUAAGCCACUUUUUAGCUGAUUCAGCCUUCCCUAUCCCGUUUUAAAACCCGAAACUCUAAAAAAUAAAAUAAAAAAGAACAAACCACCCCCCCGAUUUCUUCCUCCAAUCUCAAGAAAGGUAUGUUUUAUUCUCUUUUCUUUGAAAAUAUUUCGGUAUUUUUUUGUCUAAGAUAUGUUAUAUCCGAACAUAUAUGUAAAAGAAACGAUGUACCUAUAGAAAAAAAAUAGUAUUUUUGGUUUUUUUCUCUUCUUGCAAUUGAUGUGUAUUUUUAUCACAAAAACCGAACCCCUUUUUACAUUGGUUUCUAUUCGGCUUUAUAGCCGAUUUGUUACACUGCCCAUACUUGCGUGUUCUUUUUGUUUUGCAGGUAGUGGUUGAACGGUGGAGCAGACGUCGGUGAUGGAUGGGACAGAAGCAGUGCAAGUAGAGGCGCCUAGGGUUUGCUGCUUCCUCUCUUUUUUUUU
Molecule: long non-coding RNA, 595 nt
Filed under: Gossypium barbadense (sea-island cotton)
Lineage: Eukaryota; Viridiplantae; Streptophyta; Magnoliopsida; Malvales; Malvaceae
Description: long non-coding RNA (GBAR_LNC006211)
Source: RNAcentral